GCUUUCUUCAGAGCCUGCUUGGCAGAGACCGGGAAAUCUCAUCGGUAGAGGCUGUAGGAAUUUGCUAAAUGAGGCAGAAAGAUUGUGAGCUCCUGAAGGGCAGGGACUGUCUUGCUUCUUUUUGGAUCUCCCAGACUUGGCACAUAUUGGAUGCUUGGUCAUAGAUGCCUCCCAUUUCCUCUGGUAGACCCUGUAUUCAAGACCAUGGAUUCAGCCUGCCCCACAACUCAGAAGGGCCUAGAAUUCUAGGAAAAGAGCUAGGAGACUCUCAGAAUUACUUCUGCUGGAAC
Long non-coding RNA from Dromiciops gliroides (monito del monte), 290 nucleotides. RefSeq lists it as uncharacterized. Lineage: Eukaryota; Metazoa; Chordata; Mammalia; Microbiotheria; Microbiotheriidae. The record is from RefSeq and is a predicted model, not a curated record. The transcript has 3 exons.